Long non-coding RNA from Canis lupus familiaris (dog), 1390 nucleotides. RefSeq lists it as uncharacterized. Lineage: Eukaryota; Metazoa; Chordata; Mammalia; Carnivora; Canidae. The record is from RefSeq and is a predicted model, not a curated record. The transcript is spliced from 3 exons.
UGCAUCACAGGUAUAUUCCAAGCCCAUGGACUAGCCUUGGGGGUUAGGUGUCUGUUCCAGGGUCAGUCGGCCACAGCCUGGGUUGUGGGCAGGCCCCAGGAUAGUGCAUGGCUGCUUAGACAGGGAGGGCUAUAUGUGCAGGCUGGCACUGCCCACAGGCCCAGGAGAGAGAGGGGAGAUGGCUGCUAUACCAGACAUAGUGGCAGGAAGGAGGGAAUUAGCUACCUGCUUGCAAAUGAGAGGUCAGGGAAGGGUUUGGAAUAAACAGAUACAGCCACUGGGUUUUAGAACAUGACUAGUAGGAUUUGUUGUGUACGGUACCUCUGUGCAGGAGAAUCUGUCCAUCAGAUACCUAGAUUCCUAUCCUGGCCCUAUGGCUUAUCUGCUGUGUGGCCUUGGCUUUCCCUCCACCUCUCUGAAGCUGCUCUUUCUUCAUUUGGAAAAUGGACCUCAUGAUAGGAUCUGUUGUACGGAAUUGCCACGAUGACACAUGUGAACUCAUUAGUGGGGUGCCGGACCUAGAGGAUGUGAUCAAUAAAUGGCAAUGUAACUGUAUUCAUGCCGUUAAUAUUUCUGACAUCCCAGACAGUGGAAGUGGCCUGUCUGAUGGUCAGAGAAGACACAGGGCAGCCAGUUUGCGGAGCUGCCGGUGGCUUUCUGUGGCUGGAGCACCCAGUGCAAGGGAAGACGUGCUAGUAAACGGGCCCUGUCAGAUGCAAAGCCUUAUGUGCUGUGUAAGAUGUUUCAGAUUUCACACUAGGUUAUGAGAUGCUAUUAAAGGAUGUUAUGGAGGGAGGGAGAGAUCAGAUUUGCAUUUUAAAAAUCUCCCUCUGGCAGCAGGGCAUUCAGCGGGAUAGAGGGAGAAGGGACUGGAGUGGGCAGAUGGAUAAGGAGGCUUUUGCACUAAUCCAAGCAAAGGAUCAGAGAACCCACACAAGGAGGAGGAGAAGCAGAUCUGAAAGACAUUUAGGAAGAAGAAUUGGCAGGCCUCACAGCCUCUCUUGCUCCAAAAGGAUGGAAGCUGGCCCCAGUGAACACUGCCUAGCCAUACUUGGAAAACUGUCCUAGACAUCUGGAUGGCAUUGUGUCUUCCAGGAAGGGCCAAGGGGGACCAGGAGCUCGCAGAUGCUAAUGCAGGAAUCAAGCUGCUCCCCAGGGACCUGCUAUCAGAAAACUCAAAAAGGACUUUCUACUAUCAGGAGUUAUUGAAAUAGCUUCAGCUGGCAGUGUGCAAGGGCAGUAUCAGAUGACAAUAAAGGACGUUCAAUCAAUCUAUCCUUCUUGUGACAAGGUUUUUUAGGAAAUUCAAAGUAUUUUUGUCUACUAUGGGGCAAACUGCCUCUGUAAGGUGAAAUCGCAUCAUACGAUGAAGAACAAAUAUGUAUGUGCU